Ribosomal RNA from Cottoperca gobio, 119 nucleotides. The record is from Ensembl. Lineage: Eukaryota; Metazoa; Chordata; Actinopteri; Perciformes; Bovichtidae.
GAUUACGGCCAUACCACACUGACAACACCCGAUCUCGUCUGAUCUAGGAAGCUAAGCAGACUUGGAUUGGGUCAGUACUUGGAUGGGUGACUACCUGGGAAUACCCGGUGCUGUAAGCA